UGACCGAUGACGUGGUGGUUUGAUAACCAA
RNAcentral lists this non-coding RNA (30 nucleotides) under Homo sapiens (human). The record is from RNAcentral. Lineage: Eukaryota; Metazoa; Chordata; Mammalia; Primates; Hominidae.